AGCCACCCCCAUAUCAUCCUGCAGCCCAAGUCCGGUUAGUCACUGAAGCUGAGCAAGGCUGAGCCUGGUCAGUACCUGCAUGGGAGACCACAUGGGAAAGCUAGGUUGCUGUUGGAA
Molecule: ribosomal RNA, 117 nt
Filed under: Danio rerio (zebrafish)
Lineage: Eukaryota; Metazoa; Chordata; Actinopteri; Cypriniformes; Danionidae
Source: RNAcentral